This 79-nucleotide small nucleolar RNA is filed under the name Varanus komodoensis (Komodo dragon). Its description in RNAcentral is "Small nucleolar RNA SNORD101 (ENSVKKG00000010409.1)". It matches the Rfam family "Small nucleolar RNA SNORD101". From Rfam's summary of the family: snoRNA U101 is a member of the C/D class of snoRNA which contain the C (UGAUGA) and D (CUGA) box motifs and guide the 2'-O-methylation of rRNA and snRNAs. The record is from Rfam by way of RNAcentral. Lineage: Eukaryota; Metazoa; Chordata; Lepidosauria; Squamata; Varanidae.
GUUUGAGUGAUGACUAUACCAAAAAAAAGUCGGAUACCCCUUCACUCUUAUUAUGAGUGAAAAUAAUAGUCUGACAAAC